RNAcentral lists this ribosomal RNA (466 nucleotides) under Shigella flexneri. Its description in RNAcentral is "partial 23S ribosomal RNA". It matches the Rfam family "Bacterial large subunit ribosomal RNA", at positions 998 to 1462 of the family's 2925-position model. The record is from RNAcentral. Lineage: Bacteria; Pseudomonadati; Pseudomonadota; Gammaproteobacteria; Enterobacterales; Enterobacteriaceae.
CUAACGUCCGUCGUGAAGAGGGAAACAACCCAGACCGCCAGCUAAGGUCCCAAAGUCAUGGUUAAGUGGGAAACGAUGUGGGAAGGCCCAGACAGCCAGGAUGUUGGCUUAGAAGCAGCCAUCAUUUAAAGAAAGCGUAAUAGCUCACUGGUCGAGUCGGCCUGCGCGGAAGAUGUAACGGGGCUAAACCAUGCACCGAAGCUGCGGCAGCGACGCUUAUGCGUUGUUGGGUAGGGGAGCGUUCUGUAAGCCUGUGAAGGUGUGCUGUGAGGUAUGCUGGAGGUAUCAGAAGUGCGAAUGCUGACAUAAGUAACGAUAAAGCGGGUGAAAAGCCCGCUCGCCGGAAGACCAAGGGUUCCUGUCCAACGUUAAUCGGGGCAGGGUGAGUCGACCCCUAAGGCGAGGCCGAAAGGCGUAGUCGAUGGGAAACAGGUUAAUAUUCCUGUACUUGGUGUUACUGCGAAGG